Populus trichocarpa (black cottonwood) is the source of this 156-nucleotide non-coding RNA. Lineage: Eukaryota; Viridiplantae; Streptophyta; Magnoliopsida; Malpighiales; Salicaceae. The record is from Rfam.
UCUAGAACUCGAGAUAUGGGUUGAACACUGAACAUUGUGUGGGUUGGAGGACAGAUUCUGACUUCUCACUUGUUGCUACAAUUUGAACUUGAAAACAGCAUUUUUGAAUCUUGGACUCUUCAUGAAAGUUUUAGACCUAUGUCUUAGCUUUCCAUC